Daphnia magna is the source of this 909-nucleotide long non-coding RNA. RefSeq lists it as uncharacterized. The transcript has 3 exons. NCBI's taxonomy places the organism in Eukaryota, Metazoa, Arthropoda, Branchiopoda, Diplostraca, Daphniidae. The record is from RefSeq and is a predicted model, not a curated record.
UUUCGAGUUAACAAUUAACAUCAUAUCAUGGUGUAAAAGGGGUACCCUUGUACACCAUGGUUCAAAUUCCAAUUUCCAAAUCUCGACUUGUCAAGUUCUCAUCUUCUUAAUCCCCACUUUCCACAAAAUUUUAAAGAAAUUCCACAGAAUAUUUACACACAAAAAAAACAAAAAAACAUUUAAUUUUGAAAAAGAUUUAUUUAAGGAACGGGAAUCCAGUAUCCUUUAUCGUAACUGAUGUGCGGCCUAACUUAACGACGUUUUCCAAGAAAGGGUUUAGUGGGUAAGAUAGAAUUCCACUGUCCAUGGAAUCAUUAAAAAACUUGAUGAGAUUUUCCGAUCGGAAGGUGACUUUGAGAUCACAAUGAAGUUUUGAGAUCGCACCUGUACCAGUAAACUUGGAUGACGACUUCCACACAUAGAGAAAAAAGGCUUAUCUUCAUCUUUAAUUUGAACUUCUUUUUCAUCUGUAAUUAAACCAUCACAGUUUUCUAGGUACUCAACAAUUUACUUGCUCAAUCAGUAAAUCACCUGACGAGGAAUCUCCACUCAUUUCGAUAUCGGAGUCGAUGGGAUGUUUAUCUUGAACAGGUCUUCUGCACAGCUUUCCCUUAUGCAAUUUGUUCAAAUGCAGUUGCCGUAAUGACCUGAAGUCUUUACCUUCAAGGGGUAGCUGUUUUAACUGGGUCCCACCAUAAACUUGGAUCAAUAUGUUGGAGAUAACUUCAGGAAUCAUUUUUUUUGUGCUGUAUAAAAUGGUCUCAUUUGGAAAAACCACAAAGUAAAAUGUGGGUUUCAUUCUAGAAUGAGAAAGUUUUUCUUUUGCAGUUAACAUGCUUGUGUAUGUAAUACUGCAAAACACUGCACCAUCACUGGCUUGGCAGACUACACACUGAAAAUUGGACAUGA